Molecule: ribosomal RNA, 176 nt
Filed under: uncultured Opitutus sp.
Lineage: Bacteria; Pseudomonadati; Verrucomicrobiota; Opitutia; Opitutales; Opitutaceae
Description: partial 16S ribosomal RNA
Rfam family: Bacterial small subunit ribosomal RNA
Source: RNAcentral
CAGCAGUUUCGAAUCAUUCACAAUGGGCGAAAGCCUGAUGGUGCGACGCCGCGUGAGGGAUGAAGGCCUUCGGGUUGUAAACCUCUGUCACCGGGGAAGAAACGCUUCAAGUUAACAGCUUGAAGCCUGACUUAACCCGGAGAGGAAGCAGUGGCUAACUCUGUGCCAGCAGCCGC